UUCCUCGCCGCAUCAUACGUAAUCGAGGCACGAGGAUUACUGAUGUAACCUUCGAUGAAAUGAUAAAUCAUUCAACACUUUCACCAGUCAGGGGCCAAGGUUCUAAGUUUCACAUUUAAUUUACUUUAAAUUGGUAUAAAAAGAAUCGGAAAUUAGGCAGUAACCGUCGAUACGAGCAGCUGGGAAGCCUCUGCUAACCAAGCAUGCCGUGCAUCAUAGUCGACGUCUUUACAGAUAGCUACUAGAAUUUUACCUUAACUACUGGACAUGUUAUCGCACCAGACUUACCACAGCUGAUCACUGGCAAGGAAAGUCAAUAGUUGGAAGAAUACAGCAAGAAAGCAAACUCCACACUUGCUGCCCUCGAGACUGUGAUGCGACGGGACACGUCUACGCAUCAACAAAGUUACAUCGAAUUAAGCCAACUACUGCAAACAUUAGAGCAGAAGAUAACCACUCAACACACCACACAUUGGCUCACAUUUGGCAUCUGUUUUACAUUUACACUAAACAUUUUAUUCCUUACCUUAAAGUAUUGCAGACGACAUCGUAAAACGACUUGCUCCAGGAUGUUCGCAUGGCGAAAUGGUAACCUCUUCGACGGAAGCAGGCCGCCCUCCCAACAAUCUUGGAGGAAGCCGGCCCGAUAGCCGAAGAUCUACUUCCGCUUCAAGUCGAAACAUGUUCCAACCUAACAUCACGUCAAGUAAGCCCAGCACGUGUAACAACGGCUUAAAUCACCGAACUAAGAAGUAAGCAGACGAAUUUACAGUCUGGUACCAAAAGCAACGAACCAAGGAUCUCACGACCAGGACUGGUCCAACUUCCUUCGUCCAGAUAACGACAAGACAUUAUACGUACUGUUAUAAGAAAUGUUAUUCCAAAAGAUUAACCACCCGGAUAUCUAAUGUAUACACUAAAAAUGUUCCAAUAAUUAUUCACAGCGUGAAUUUACUAACACUUAGAAUAACGUAUUAUAACAUUAAUUAUAUGUAACAUAGAACCAGAAUAAGCGUGACAGAAAACAAUCUCACAACUCAGCUAAAAACCGUCUCAAAAAGAUAACUGACCAAGACGACCUCAUUAAACUCCAGCUCAAUCGAGCUGUGACUUUCAAUUUAGGUUGGGGUAGUUGUUGUAUUUGGACACUUUCGUGGUCUCAUUCCCUAAAUUACGAGAGCAUGGUAACUUUCGCAAUAUGAGCAUACUUACGUAAUAAGUGACACUGCUAUGACACGCGGGAAGGAAGCUGUGGUCUUGAUACCUCGCCGCUAGCGAUGAUUCAAGGUUUGCAAGCGUAACCUAAGCAUUGUCACACUUUAUGCUAAAUCGAAGAUUAUUGGAGGAUUAUUGAUGUAACCUCCGGUGAAGGGAUAAGUCACCCAAUUGUUUCGCCAAUCGGAGACCAAGGUUCUAGAUAUCACUCUUCCGCCCCCAGACAUUUUAACUGCUUUGAAUUAGUAUCAAAAGAGGCAGAAAUUAAGAAGUAGUCGUCGAGACGAGCAGCUGGGAAGCCUUCACUAACCAAGCAUGCUGUGCAUUAUAGUCGGCGUUUGUGAAUAUUGUCUGUUUUACUGUCACUGAUUCACUAAGUAACGAAGUCAUUGAGUAACUUCAGAAUAAUUGUAACAAAUUUGAACUAGGUAGUGGUUCUGUUUAGAAGUAGGUUGUGAGGUUUAUAUUUGUAUUCAUUGAUUGUAGAGGCAUUAUAAUAUUGUGCAUAACUAUUUCUGUAUAGAUUUACUUACAUAAUUCUUGUUAUAAUAUAUCCAUAUAUUACUGA
Zootermopsis nevadensis is the source of this 1783-nucleotide non-coding RNA. The record is from RefSeq and is a predicted model, not a curated record. Lineage: Eukaryota; Metazoa; Arthropoda; Insecta; Blattodea; Termopsidae.